RNAcentral lists this non-coding RNA (30 nucleotides) under Rattus norvegicus (Norway rat). Lineage: Eukaryota; Metazoa; Chordata; Mammalia; Rodentia; Muridae. The record is from RNAcentral.
UGCCAAAGAGUCUAGAGCUCAGACAGCGCU